Molecule: ribosomal RNA, 459 nt
Filed under: uncultured bacterium
Lineage: Bacteria
Description: partial 16S ribosomal RNA
Rfam family: Bacterial small subunit ribosomal RNA
Source: RNAcentral
CCUACGGGAGGCUGCAGUGAGGAAUAUUGGUCAAUGGGCGCGAGCCUGAACCAGCCAAGUCGCGUGAGGGAAGACGGCCCUAUGGAUUGUAAACCUCUUUUGUCGGGGAGAAAAAGACGCCACGUGUGGCGUUACGAUAGUACCAUAAGAAAAAGGAUCGGCUAACUCCGUGCCAGCAGCAGCGGUAAUACGGAGGAUGCGAGCGUUAUCCGGAUUUAUUGGGUUUAAGGGGGGAGAAGGGGGAUGAUCAAGGUGGUGGGAAAAUUGGGGGGCUCCACCUCAUCUCGCCGUUGAAACUGGGUGUCUUGAGUGCGUGAGAGGUAUGCGGAAUGCGUGGUGUAGCGGUGAAAUGCAUAGAUAUCACGAAGAACUCCGAUUGCGAAGGCAGCAUACUGGCGCGCAACUGACGCUCAUGCACGAAAGUGUGGGUAUCGAACAGGAUUAGAUACCCUUGUAGUU